This 774-nucleotide ribosomal RNA is filed under the name uncultured Neocallimastigales. RNAcentral describes it as "partial large subunit ribosomal RNA". It matches the Rfam family "Eukaryotic large subunit ribosomal RNA", at positions 26 to 628 of the family's 3401-position model. Lineage: Eukaryota; Fungi; Neocallimastigomycota; Neocallimastigomycetes; Neocallimastigales. The record is from RNAcentral.
CGUCUAUAUACGUAUAGCAUAUCAAUAAGCGGAGGAAAAGAAACUAACUAGGAUUCCCUCAGUAACGGCGAGUGAAGCGGGAAGAGCUCAAAUUUGAAAUCUUAAAGGUUUCCCUUGACGAAUUGUAGUUUAAAGAAGUGUUUUCUGUUGGAGUUUUGGUAAAAGUUCUUUGGAAUAGGACAUCAUAGAGGGUGAGAAUCCCGUAUUUGACCAUUAUUUCCAACUUUGUGAUACACUUUCAAGGAGUCGGAUUGUUUGGGAAUGCAGUCCAAAAUGGGUGGUAAAUUUCAUCUAAAGCUAAAUACUGGCGAGAGACCGAUAGCGAACAAGUACCGUGAGGGAAAGAUGAAAAGAACUUUGAAAAGAGAGUUAAACAGUACGUGAAAUUGUCAAAAGGGAAGCGUUUGACACCAGUGUUGUUUUCUCGAAAAUCAAUUAAAAAUGGCUGGGAUUUUGUGUUGUAUUGACUUUAUCAGCUUUCUGCACUUUUUUCCUAUCUUUUUUAAUGCACUUUUCGUUUAACAAGUCAACAUCAAUUUCUUUUGUUGUAAAAGGGUCAUUAGAAGGUGGCUUUCUUUUCGGAGAAAGUGUUUAUAGCCUUUGACUUCUGCAAUCGGAGAGAUUGAGGUCUGCAGCGUAGAUCCUUCGGGGUUAGAUACAUUUGUGCUAAGUUAUAGCCUUUCAUAGACAACUUGUUGACUAUGAUCAGUCAUGUAGCUUACUCGCUUAUGUUAUUUUACCUACGCUUAGGAUGUUGACGAUCAGCUGAGCGCG